Molecule: non-coding RNA, 90 nt
Organism: Mycena rosella
Lineage: Eukaryota; Fungi; Basidiomycota; Agaricomycetes; Agaricales; Mycenaceae
Source: the annotation of a GenBank genome assembly
GGGGACGUAGUGUACGGUGCACCGCUGCGUCUCCUGAUGAAGGCUGCAAACUUUGAGCAGCAGGCUGGGGUUCGACUCCCCGCGUCCCCG